This 389-nucleotide long non-coding RNA is filed under the name Felis catus (domestic cat). RNAcentral describes it as "lncRNA (ENSFCAG00000046324.2)". The record is from RNAcentral. Lineage: Eukaryota; Metazoa; Chordata; Mammalia; Carnivora; Felidae.
CCAGUCAACAUCAGAGAUGCCCCCCACCCCACCCCCACCCCAACAGAAGGGAUCACCACCUUUUGACUAUUCCUUCCUCAUUCACUCAAGGGAUCCAGAUCCAUAUCCACCAUAUGAAAACAAUAAAAACAACAAAUUUUGCUCCAGUUUGCUGGCCCCUGCUUCCAAGGUAACUGCACGCACACAAACUCCAUUUCCACAGAAUGUGAGAUUUUACUCAUCAAAAAGUCUUCAUAAUCAACUGACAACCUAUCUGCUUCAACAGUGUUGAAUCUCUUUCAUAAUUUCAAAUAUGUCUGUGUCUACUGAUGCUAUGUUAGUUCUUAAGUCUCAAAAUUAUCCUUUAGCAUUAAAAUAAAACCUGCAUUGUUGAAACCUAAGUACCUUGG